GACGUAGACCCGAAACCGGGCGACCUACCCAUGAGCAGGAUGAAGCGAAAGUAAAAUUUCGUGGAGGUCCGAACCCACGAGCGUUGAAAAGCUCGGGGAUGACUUGUGGGUAGCGGUGAAAUUCCAAUCGAGCCCGGAGAUAGCUGGUUCUCCCCGAAAUAGCUUUAGGGCUAGCCUCAAGGUGAGAGAUACGGAGGUAGAGCACUGAAUGUCCUAGGGGGUAUUGCACCUACCGAAGACUAUCAAACUCCGAAUGCCGUCAUCUUAUACUUGGGAGUCAGACUGUGGGUGAUAAGAUUCAUAGUCGAAAGGGCAACAGCCCAGAUCGUCAGCUAAGGUCCCUAAAUGUAAGUUAAGUGGUAAAGGAUGUGGGAUUGCACAGACAACCAGGAUGUUGGCUUAGAAGCAGCCACUCAUUCAAAGAGUGCGUAAUAGCUCACUGGUCGAGUGAUCCUGCGCCGAAGAUUUCCGGGGCUAAAACUUACUACCGAAGCUACGGCAUCA
RNAcentral lists this ribosomal RNA (504 nucleotides) under Clostridioides difficile. RNAcentral describes it as "partial 23S ribosomal RNA". It matches the Rfam family "Bacterial large subunit ribosomal RNA", at positions 706 to 1210 of the family's 2925-position model. Lineage: Bacteria; Bacillati; Bacillota; Clostridia; Peptostreptococcales; Peptostreptococcaceae. The record is from RNAcentral.